GACGAACGCUGGCGGCGUGCCUAAUACAUGCAAGUCGAACGCAGUGGGGACGGGUGAGUAACCCGUGGGUAACCUCCCAUCAGAGGGGAUAACACUUGGAAACAGGUGCUAAACCGAUACUGAUGGAUGGACCCGCGGUGCAUUGGCUAGUUUGUGAGGAAACGGCUCACCAAGGCCACGAUGGAACGCCAACCUGCUGGGGUUAGCUGACACGAGAGGACUGAGACACGGCCCAGACUCCUACGGGAGGCAGCAGUAGGGAUUCUUCUGCAAUGGACGAAAGUCUGACCGAGCAACGCCGCGGGAGUUAAGAAGGUUUUCGGAGCGUAAAACUCUGUUGUUAGAGAAGCGGUAUCUAACCAGAAAGCCACGGCUAACUACGUGCCAGCCGCCGCGGUAAUAC
This 403-nucleotide ribosomal RNA is filed under the name uncultured bacterium. Its description in RNAcentral is "partial 16S ribosomal RNA". It matches the Rfam family "Bacterial small subunit ribosomal RNA", at positions 28 to 526 of the family's 1533-position model. The record is from RNAcentral.